This 2612-nucleotide long non-coding RNA is filed under the name Schizosaccharomyces pombe (fission yeast). RNAcentral's name for it is "centromeric lncRNA". The record is from RNAcentral. Lineage: Eukaryota; Fungi; Ascomycota; Schizosaccharomycetes; Schizosaccharomycetales; Schizosaccharomycetaceae.
CAGCAUCAGCACAGCACCACUACCACUACCACUUCCACUUACCACAAGCACUACCACCACCACCACCACUUCCACUUACCACUUCCAUUACUACCACGACUACCACUAACCAUCACCACUUUCAUCUCCAUUCUUGUCAUUAUUGGCUUGUUGUACGUUGUUCAAAUGUUUCAACGUAUGUACAUUUGUGACUACGAUUUCUUGUUAGCGAUAUAAACGAAGAGGAUAAAGACUUUGGAGUAAAUAAUUUUGGCCGUGCCACUAGCAUAAUGUAUUUGUGCGUCUAGGUAUCCUUAGCGUUGCAAGUGGAAAGUGGCUUCACACUAUAAAUGGUUGACACAGCUAAUACAUUAGACAUAAACUUUCUCAGCAUUCACGAACAGUAAAAAUACUAUUGGUAAAUGAUUCAUGGAUAUAUAGUAUUAGUAUUUGGCAUUCGUUUCGCUUAUGAAUUGUGAUUGAACCGAUAUCGUAUCAUCAUUAAAAGUUUCCUGUACAUCUUCUACAUCAUUCAAACAUGUGGAAGAAUCAUAAAUUUCACAAAAAUAAUGUCUCAAUCGCAUACGUAUUGUCUGCUCUGACUUGGCUUGUCUUCUGUAUGUGAUCCAAAUAGACGAGAAUGUCAAUCCAUCAUGUACGACCAAUCACACUUCCUAUAGCUGAAACCGAGUGCAAAUGCUUUUGUAGCAAUCAUGAUCUGUGCCUUUCCAAGUUAGGGGUUCCAAGACUCGUCAAAGUGAAUUUUUCAUUCUUCUUCAUUUAAAUCUCUCGUGUAAAUGGUUAUCAAGAUGUGAUGAGAGAACAAGUCAGGGUGGUCGAAAAGGAUGCUUAAUUAAUGUACGGUGAACGUUUCAUGUUUAUUCAUUGAAUCACCUUUCCAAAGUCUAUUAUUUUGUUUUUAUCAACAUUCGAAAAUUCAAGGGAAAGCUUAAAUCUCUUCUAAGAAUACAUGCAGAAACAAGAAAAAUGGUUUCCCGCCCAGUGGAUGCUUCUGUGAAUACACAAAAGUUUUGUAUGAAAGGUUAAAGCGGUUGUUUGGCACUGAAUGUAACUACCAAGGAAAAAGUAAUGCUAAGCAAAUUUAAUGAUGCAUAUAUAAUUGGGACAAUUGCAACAUUUGCAAUGUUUUGCCAAAGCGAAAUUGUAUCUUUCGUUUGCGUAUAAGGAAUGUGCCUCGUCAAAUUAUCAUCCAUCCCAGCUGAACAAAUACUGUCAAAGAUUUCAAAAAAUACCGUGAAGCAUUUGCUUUAUUAACGAUGUUACUCAAUAAAAAGAUAUUCAUUUGUGGCAUAACAAGUUCUCAAUUCGAUUCCAAGUACAUGGAGAGCGUAUGUUGAAAUUAAUAAAUCUAAAAUGGUGAUUAAGGAAGGAUUACUGUGCAUCUUUGAAAGUCAUUCAAUUCCUUAAUUAAAAACGACCAAUAUGCUGCGGUUCACCCUUAACAUCAUGUUUUUAACCAACGACAUCAUGGGUAGUAAAAUAAGUAAAACCAUAUUCAUAUUCUUUCUUAAUUUUCUCAAUUUUGAUCGUAUUUCGUUUUUUUCCACAACACCAGAUAUUAAAAUCGAUAAAGAACUUUUUCCAUCCGCAGUUGGGAGUACAUCAUUCCUACUUCGAUAUACUUUUGAAAGAGAAAAGUGAACCGAUUGGAAUUGUUUCGACAACACGAAUUUUACUUCUAGGUCAUAUAUUUAUGGCGAUGCCAAACAACAAUAUUGUUGAGACAGUAAGUUAAGCAAAUGGCUAAAUAAAUCCAAGACUGUUGUUGAGUGCUGUGGAUCUCAAUAUUAUCAGUAUCUACUCUUCUCGAUGAUCCUGUAAAUUUUUGUUAUCUUUUUUUAUUUGCAGUUACUGAUAAUACUAGCAUUUUGCAUGCUUUUUUUUAUUUGGAUGUUCUUCCAAUUGAUCAAUACAGUAACUUUAGAACUAUCAUCGCUAUGCCUUUAAAUGACCGCACUAAAAGCAUGGUACCGAAGCACUGACAUAACAGAGAGGUUCAGAAAGGAAUUUAAAGAUUGACUUUUUCGAUAAACUUCAUGUUACAAGUCUUAUCGUUUGUGUUUAUAAAUCAUCAGCCUCUCUCUAUAUCUCUAUAUCUCUAUAUCUCUAUAUAUCAGAUAUAAAGAUGCAAGUUUUGAAGUAGACAUUCCGCACAAGGUCUAGUACACCAUGUCUCUUGUGCUCAGGCUAGUUGUCCUGCAAAAAUGUACAACAGGAAAAUGGAUGUUUCAUCAAAGAUGGACUCCUUUGUCUCAUACUUAUUGAUGGCGAAGCUAGAUCCGUUAUCAUCUUGAGAAAACACAUCAUCGUCGUACUACAUUUUUUUUCUUACUCAUUGCUUGUUUAUCUACUACGAUUAAACUAUUACAAAGGAUAUCCAGGAAGAUGAUACACAAUGAAAACCGAUAUGUGGGUUGCAAAAGAUAAGCAGUCACCGCAAGAUAGAGUAGGAUGGGUUUAGAUGUUUUCAGUACCCUAAUGCGGAGUAAGGCUAAUCACGGUAUUUGUAAUUCCAUAUUAUAAGAAUAAAAAGUAUCGCAACGAUUUGAACUGUCAAUAUCCAUCCAUUCUGUCCAAAAUAGUAUCCUUGUAUUUGAGAGGAUGAUUUAGUU